This 288-nucleotide long non-coding RNA is filed under the name Naja naja (Indian cobra). Its description in RNAcentral is "lncRNA (ENSNNAG00000008277.1)". The record is from RNAcentral. Lineage: Eukaryota; Metazoa; Chordata; Lepidosauria; Squamata; Elapidae.
GUUUCUUUUACUUGUUCUUCCUCCAAUGUAAGUUAAUAAAUAAUUAUAUAUCCUCUUAAUGAAUUUUUCAUCUGUUCCCAUUAGAAUCUGGCCUAGCUCAUUUGGUUCUUUAUAAAGCCCAUACGCCUUCCUAUCUUUUUCAUAUCUGGAUUGCAUCUCUAAUUGUGGCCACUAUGAUAGCUUUAUUUUCAGGAAGUGGCAUGGACUCCAACAGUUCAGACCAGAAUUCCACCCAAGUUGGCUUACAGGAAACAACCACAGUUUAGCAGCCCCCUUGCAGUGGAGACU